Molecule: small nuclear RNA, 103 nt
Organism: Perognathus longimembris pacificus (Pacific pocket mouse)
Lineage: Eukaryota; Metazoa; Chordata; Mammalia; Rodentia; Heteromyidae
Source: RefSeq, a predicted model, not a curated record
UUGCUUUGGCAGCACAGGUACUAAAAUUGGAAUGAUACAGGGAAGGGAAGCAUGGCCCCUACGCAAGGAUGACAUGCAAAUUCAUGAAGCAUUCCAUAUUUUU